UACGGAGGGUGCAAGCGUUGUCCGGAUUCAUUGGGUUUAAAGGGUGCGCAGGCGGGACAUUAAGUCAGGGGUGAAAUCCUGGAGCUCAACUCCAGAACUGCCUUUGAUACUGAAGAUCUUGAGUUCGGGAGAGGUGAGUGGAACUGCGAGUGUAGAGGUGAAAUUCGUAGAUAUUCGGAAGAACACCAGUGGCGAAGGCGGCUCACUGGACCGGUAUUGACGCUGAGGUGCGAAAGCGUGGGGAGCAAACAGG
Molecule: ribosomal RNA, 253 nt
Filed under: uncultured bacterium
Lineage: Bacteria
Description: partial 16S ribosomal RNA
Rfam family: Bacterial small subunit ribosomal RNA
Source: RNAcentral